UACCCACCAGCUCUUAAUCUCGUUCGAUCCCCACCAGACCCCUCGUCCACAUGCGCCAUUUCUCCUGAUUUGCUGCAGGCGAAGAAGAUGUGGCUUGUGCCAUCAGGAAACUAAUCGCAAGGGAGAAGACGACGUGGUGCUCAACCUAAUCAUGGUCGGCGGGUAGCGGCCAUAGCUGAUGUGCUGGAUGCUGGCGGGUCGGAGGAUGCAGUGAUGGAGCUCACGGUGAAGGGCGCACCGAUUCGUGGGUUUGCUGGGCGAACUUGCGAUAGAGAACGGUUGGAUCUGAGGCACGGGACAGCGGGGAGGCACCGGGGCUAUGGUCUGCUAGGCGUUGUGGUUCUAGUGUUCGCUCAGCCGCAGCUGGAGAGUUUGGAACGUUGUUUAUAGUCAAAAUGGCAACACCAGGCCAAUCAAUCCAUCCGUAUGUGGAAUGUCAGAGAGCCUACUGGUCAGCUUAUAUGGUGUUUUGCUAUUUAAGCUUAUGAAGCAAGGUGGAAAGUGGCGGGACUUCGUCGAUGUCGAGUUGGGUGUCAUCUGAAGCGCUUGCGGGUGGCUUGGCCACGUGUUGACUUGCACGCCGCACUGUCCUCAUACCGGCUGUCUUUGAUUCUCUUGGAUAGCGUGUUGGAGUCACAGUUUUAGCAACCAUUAAAUUGAGAUAGGAAGAAGAUGAACAAACCUUAGAACUGUGAGUCAAAGAUGAGUCAGAGCUUGAGCAGCACGGACAUGCCACCUCGUACUCAUCAGCUAUGGUGACAUGUUCGUGGAUGUGUCUCAGACCGAAGUCAUUGCCGCUGGUCCGUGAUUCCAUGCAUCCUUGUUUGGAUUGGAGGCAACAGAGCGUGGGUUGGAGUCAACGGCCCUUGGAGAUGUGCAAUAGCAAGGCAAAGAAGCGGACGAAGGACAAAGCAGCGGUCUCUGCGUCCUAGUGGCUGCAUCCUGCUCGUCAAUAUCUCACCGUAGUCACUGCCGCCAUGUCAUCCCAUGUAGAUUUGGACCUGACCUCCUCUCAUUCUCCUAGGACGCUUGAGCGCUUCAGCCGGCGCUUCACUGAUGACGACGAAGGCAGGAUCAGAAGGGGCACGUUGCAGCCCCAAAGAAUUGGAAACCCUAGCAGCCGAGUUUCUCCUUAACGUGUGUGGUAAGGAACGUGAAGCCUGCUUAAGAUUUGAAGAGGAGCACGUGAGCGAAGAGGUCAACUUUUUGAUAUUUUAUUAUCCAAUGGCUUUAGAUGAAAAAUUGAGCUAUGUUAACAAUGGAGUAUACUUGGUAAUUGUUUUUAAAAAGAUAGAACAAUUUCUAGUUAUUACAUAUGUAGAGAAUAGAUCUUCAUCCAUCAAAAUCAUACCUAAGCUUGUGUUGAUAAAUUAAAUGUAAGCCAUUCUUGUGCCUUGAAAGGGAAUAAAAUAU
Molecule: long non-coding RNA, 1413 nt
Organism: Triticum dicoccoides
Lineage: Eukaryota; Viridiplantae; Streptophyta; Magnoliopsida; Poales; Poaceae
Exons: 3
Source: RefSeq, a predicted model, not a curated record